GAUGAACGCUGGCGGCGUGCCUAAUACAUGCAAGUCGAGCGAACGGACGAGAAGCUUGCUUCUCUUAUGUUAGCGGCGGACGGGUGAGUAACACGUGGAUAACCUACCUAUAAGACUGGGGUAACUUCGGGAAACCGGAGCUAAUACCGGAUAAUAUUUUGAACGGCAUGGUUCAACAGUGAAAGACGGUCUUGCUGUCACUUAUAGAUGGUUCCGCGCUGCAUUAGCUAGUUGGUAAGGUAACGGCUUACCAAGGCAACGAUGCAUAGCCGACCUGAGAGGGUGAUCAGCCACACUGGAACUGAGACACGGUCCAGACUCCUACGGGAGGCAGCAGUAGGGAAUCUUCCGCAAUGGGCGAAAGCCUGACGGAGCAACGCCGCGUGAGUGAUGAAGGUCUUCGGAUCGUAAAACUCUGUUAUUAGGGAAGAACAUAUGUGUAAGUAACUGUGCACGUCUUGACGGUACCUAAACAGAAAGCCACGGCUAACUACGUG
This 497-nucleotide ribosomal RNA is filed under the name uncultured bacterium. RNAcentral's name for it is "partial 16S ribosomal RNA". It matches the Rfam family "Bacterial small subunit ribosomal RNA", at positions 28 to 507 of the family's 1533-position model. The record is from RNAcentral.